GGGCUUGUUCUGGAAUCGAUUGGGUAACGGGUGGCUCAUAAGCAUGCAGUCGGUAGACUAUAAAUACGAAUUAAAUUUAAACGCAAACAAUAAUUUUGCAUACGCUUGCUAAGUAAAGCAGGCACCCAUGUUGUCUUUAUUUGUUGAGAUAACAUCUGGUUCAGAAAAACAAAUUGCUUGAUUGCUUUCCUUUAAAGCAAUCACUAAGAUUUAAAAGGAAAACUUAGUUGUUUUGCCUAUAGAAUAACUAUUUUACAAAUAUAGGAUAAGCAUGUAGAAGUUGAACAGGAAGGUAUUCAAGACCGGGGUUCAAAUCCCCGCAGGUCCACCA
Molecule: transfer-messenger RNA, 331 nt
Filed under: bacterium
Lineage: Bacteria
Rfam family: transfer-messenger RNA
About the family: Bacterial tmRNA, also known as 10Sa RNA or SsrA, is named for its dual tRNA and mRNA-like properties.
Source: RNAcentral